CAGCACCUCAAGUGGUCAGGAUGAUUAUUGGGCCUAAAGCAUCCGUAGCCGGCGCUGUAAGUUUUCGGUUAAAUCUGUACGCUCAACGUACAGGCUGCCGGGAAUACUGCAGCGCUAGGGAGUGGGAGAGGUAGACGGUACUCGGUAGGAAGGGGUAAAAUCCUUUGAUCUAUUGAUGACCACCUGUGGCGAAGGCGAUCUACCAGAACACGUCCGACGGUGAGGGAUGAAAGCUGGGGGAGCAAACCGGAUUAGAGACCCGAGUAGUCC
RNAcentral lists this ribosomal RNA (270 nucleotides) under uncultured archaeon. RNAcentral's name for it is "partial 16S ribosomal RNA". It matches the Rfam family "Archaeal small subunit ribosomal RNA", at positions 477 to 747 of the family's 1478-position model. The record is from RNAcentral.